Molecule: long non-coding RNA, 5430 nt
Organism: Mercenaria mercenaria
Lineage: Eukaryota; Metazoa; Mollusca; Bivalvia; Venerida; Veneridae
Exons: 3
Source: RefSeq, a predicted model, not a curated record
CCGUAAAAUGCUCCCAAAGAGAACACCUUAGCUCUUCUGCUUUACGAAAACAUGAAUAUCAAUAGUGUCUAGCGCACGUGAUAACACACAGAGGGGCUCCAAAAGGGGUGAAUAAAUAGAGCUGAAUCGGUUGAUUACAGAAGCAGUUUCCGUCAUCAAUUUUUGUUUUAAUAUUUAUGUACAUUUUUACAGUGAAUACGACUAGAAAAGCACCAUCCGUGUUUUUUUAGCUCACCUGAGCAAUGCUCAGGUGAGUUUUUCUGAUCGCUCAAUGUCCGGCGUCCGUCGUCUGUCGUCUGUCGUCCGUCUGUCAACAUUUAGCUUGUGUAUGCGAUAGAGGCUGUAUUUUUCAACUAAUCUUCAUGAGUAUUGGUCAGAAUUUUAACCUUGAUAAAAUCUAAGCCGAGUUUGAAAAUGGGUCAUCUCGGGUCAAAAACUAGGUCACUAGGUCAAAUUAAAGAAAAACCUUGUGUAUGCGAUAGAGGCUGUAUUUUUCAAUUGGUCUUCAUGAAUAUUGGUCAGAAUGAUGGCCUUGAUGAAAUCUAAGCCGAGUUCGAAAAUGGGUCAUCUCGGGUCAAAAACUAGGUCACUAGGUCAAAUCAAAGAAAAACCUUGUGUAUGCUAUAGAGGCGGUAUUUUUCAAUUGAUCUUCAUGAAUUUUGGUCAGAAUGAUUACCUUGAUGAAAUCUAGGCCGAGUUCGAAAAUGGGUCAUCUGGGGUUAAAAACUAGGUCAAUAGGUCAAAUCAAGGAAAAACCUUGUGUAUGCGAUAGAGGCUGUAUUUUUCAACUGAUCUUCAUGAAAUUAAGCCAGAAUGAUUACCUUGAUAAAAUCUAGGCCGAGUUCGAAAAUGGGUCAUCUGGGGUCAAAAACUAGGUCACUAGGUCAAAUCGAAGAAAAACAUUGUGUAUGCAAUAGAGGAUGUAGUUUUCAAUUGAUCUUCAUGAAAUUUGGUCAGAGUGAUUGCCUUGAUGAAAUCUAGGUCGAGUUUGAAUAUGGGUUAUCUGAGGUCAAAAACUAGGUCACUAGGUCAAAUUAAUGCGAUAGAGACUGUUUUUUUCAAUUGAUUUUUAGCUCACCUGUCACAAAGUGACAAGGUGAGCUUUUGUGAUCACGCAGCGUCCGUCGUCCAUCCGUGCGUGCAUAAACUUUUGCUUGUGACCACUCUAGAGGUCACAUUUUUCAUGGGAUCUUUAUGAAAAUUGGUCAGAAUGUUCUUCUUAACGAUAUCUAGGUCAGGUUCGAAACUGGGUCACGUGCCUUAAAAAACUAGGUCAGUAGGUCUAAAAAUAGAAAAAACCUUGUGACCUCUCUAGAGGCCAUAUAUUUCAAAAGAUCUUCAUGGAAGUUGGUCAGAAUGUUCACCUUGAUGAUAUCUAGGUCAAGUUUGAAACUGGGUCACGUGGCGUCAAAAACUAGGUCAGUAGGUCAAAUAAUAGAAAAACCUUGUGACCUCUCUAAAGGCCAUAUUUUUCAUGGGAUCUGUAUGAAAGUUGGUUUGAAUGUUCAUCUUGAUGAUAUCUAGGUCAAGUUCGAAACUGGGUCACGUGGCGUCAAAAACUAGGUCAGUAGGUCAAAUAAUAGAGAAACCUUGUGACCUCUCUAAAGGCCAUAUUUUUCAUGGGAUCUGUAUGAAAGUUGGUCUGAAUGUUCUUCUUAAUGAUAUCUAGGUCAGGUUCGAAACUGGGUCACGUGCCUUAAAAAACUAGGUCAGUAGGUCUAAAAAUAGAAAAACCUUGUGACCUCUCUAGAGGCCAUAUAUUUCACAAGAUCUUCAUGAAAGUUGGUCAGAAUGUUCACCUUGAUGAUAUCUAGGUCAAGUUCGAAACUGGGUCACGUGGCGUCAAAAACUAGGUCAGUAGGUGAAAUAAUAGAAAAACCUUGUGACCUUUCUAGAGGCCAUAUAUUUCACAAGAUCUUCAUGAAAGUUGGUCAGAAUGUUCAUCUUGAUGAUAUCUAGGUCAAGUUCGAAACUGGGUCACGUGCGGUCAAAAACUAGGUCAGUAGGUCUAAAAAUAGAAAAACCUUGUGACCUCUCUAGAGGCCACACUUGUGAAUGGAUCUUCAUAAAAAUUGGUCAGAAUGUUCACAUUGAUGAUAUCUAGGUCAAGUUCGAAACUGGGUCACGUGCGGUCAAAAACUAUGUCAGUAGGUCUAAAAAUAGGAAAACCUUGUGACCUCUCUAGAGGCCAUAUAUUUCAUGAGAUCUUCAUGAAAAUUGGUCAGAAUGUUUACCUUGAUGAUAUCUAGGUUACUUUCGAAAGUGGGUCACGUGCCUUAAAAAACUAGGUCAGUAGGUCAAAUAAUAGAAAAACCUUGUGACCUCUCUAGAGGCCAUAUUUUUCAUGGGAUCUGUAUGAAAGUUGGUCAGAAUGUUCAUCUUGAUGAUAUCUAGUUCAAGUUCGAAACAGGGUCAUGUGCGAUCAAAAACUAGGUCAGUAGGUCUAAAAAUAGAAAAACCUUGUGACCUCUCUAGAGGCCAUACAUGUGAAUGGAUCUCCAUAAAUAUUGAUCAGAAUGUUCAUUUUGAGGAUAUCUAGGUCAAGUUCGAAAGUGGGUCAUGUGCCAUCAAAAACUAGGUCAGUAGGUCAAAUAAUAGAAAAACCUUGUGACCUCUCUAGAGGCCAUAUUUUUCAUGGGAACUGUAUGAAAGUUGGGCUGAAUGUUUAUCUUGAUGAUAUAUAGGUCAAGUUUGAAACUAGGUCAACUGCGAUCAAAAACUAGGUCAGUAGGUCUUGAAAUAGAAAAACCUUGUGACCUCUCUAGAGGCCAUACCCUUGAAUGGAUCUUCAUGAAAAUUGGUCAGAAUGUUCACCUUGAUGAUAUCUAGAUCAAGUUCGAAACUGGGUCACGUGCCUUAAAAAACUAGAUCAGUAGGUCAAAUAAUAAAAACACCUUGUGACCUCUCUAGAGGCCAUACUUUUCAUAGGAUCUGUAUGAAAGUUGGUCUGAAUGUUCAUCUUGAUGAUAUCUAGGUCAAGUUUGAAACUGGGUCAGCUGCGGUCAAAAACUAGGUCAGUAGGUCUAAAAUUAGAAAAAAUUUGUGACCUCUCUAGAGGCCAUAUAUUUCAUAAGAUCUUCAUGAAAAUUGGUCAGAAUGUUCACCUUGAUUAUAUCUAGGUCAAGUUCAAAACUGGGUCACGUGCCAUCAAAAUCUAGGUCAGUAGGUCUAAAAAUAGAAAAACAUUGUGACCUCUCUAGAGGCCAUAUAUUUCACAUGAUCUUCAUGAAAAUUGGUCAGAACAUUUACCUUGAUGAUAUCUAGGUCAGUUUUGAAACUGGGUCACACUUCUUCAAAAACUAGGUCAGUAGGUCAAAUAAUAGAAAAACCUUGUGACCUCUCUAAAGGCCAUAUUUUUCAUGGGAUCUGAAAGAAAGUUGGUCUGAAUGUUCAUCGUUGUGAUAUCUAGAUCAGGUUCGAAACUGGGUCACGUGCGGUCAAAAACUAGGUCAGUAGGUCUAAAAAUAGAAAAACCUUGUGACCUCUCUAGAGGCCAUAUAUUUCAUGAGAUUUUCAUGAAAAUUGGUCAGAAUGUUCAUCUUGAUGAUAUCUAGAUCAGGUUCGAAAGUGGGUCACAUGCCUUCAAAAACUAGGUCAGUAGGUCAAAUAACAGAAAAACCUUGUGACCUCUCUAGAGGCCAUAUUUUUCAUGGAAUCUGUAUGAAAGUUGGUCUGAAUGUUCAUCUUGAUGAUAUCUAGGUCAAGUUCGAAACAGGAUCAUGUGCUUCAAAAACUAGGUCAGUAGGUCUUGAAAUAGAAAAACCUUGUGACCUUUCUAGAGGCCAUAUUUUUCAUGGGAUCUGUAUGAAAGUUGGUCUGAAUGUUUAUCUUGAUGAUAUAUAGGUCAAGUUUGAAACUGGGUCAACUGCGAAGAAAAACCAGGUCAGUAGGUCUUGAAAUAGAAAAACCUUGUGACCUCUCUAGAGGCCAUACCCUUGAAUGGAUCUUCAUGAAAAUUGGUCAGAAUGUUCACCUUGAUGAUAUCUAGGUCAAGGUUGAAACUGGGUCACGUGCCUUAAAAAACUAGGUCAGUAGGUCAAAUAAUAAAAACACCUUGUGACCUCUCUAGAGGCCAUACUUUUCAUAGGAUCUGUAUGAAAGUUGGUCUGAAUGUUCAUCUUGAUGAUAUCUAGGUCAAGUUUGAAACUGGAUCAACUGCAGUCAAAAGCUAGGUCAGUAGGUCUAAAAUUAGAAAAAUCUUUUGACCUCUCUAGAGGCCAUAUUUUUCAAUAGAUCUUCAUGAAAAUUGAUUUGAAUGUUCACCUUGAUGAUAUCUAGGUCAGUUACGAAACUGGGUCACGUGCGGUCAAAAACUAGGCCAGUAGGUAUAAAAAUAGAAAAACCUUGUGACCUCCCUAGAGGCCAUAUUUUUCAUGAGAUCUUCAUGAAAACUAGUGAGAAUGUUCACCUUGAUGAUAUCUAGGUAAAAUUCAAAACAGGGUCACAUACCUUCGAAAACUAGGUCAAUAGGUCAAAUAAUUGAAAAACCUUAUGACCUCUCUAGAGACCAUAUUUUUCAAUGGAUCUUCAUGAAAAUUGGUCAGAAUUUUUAUCCUGAUAAUAUAUAGGUCAAGUUAAAAAUUUGGUCACAUGAGCUCAAAAACUAGGUCACUAUGUCAAAUAAUAGAAAAAACGACGUCAUACUCAAAGCUGCGUCAUGUGGGAAGAGGUGAGCGAUUCAGGACCAUCAUGGUCCUCUUGUUUAAUCUUUAUGGUGAAAUUAAUUAAUACAAUUUUAAGAAAUUUGAAGGUUCAUGUGUUAAAUUAGGCUUGUUGAAAAUAGGAGGUUAAAAAAAAGCAAAACCCGAGACUCGAACUCGCGAUCUCAUGCUUGUGAAGCCGAUGUUAUACCGAUGCACAAAAAUGACUCAUUUUUACCUUUAUUAUGUAUUUUUGGUAAAUCAUCUGGUUUCAACUGCCAAAAGGAGGAACUUUCAACUUAAUUGGGGAUUACAGAGUUAUUCUUUGCGCAUGCGCAUUGGUUGCACGUGAAAUCCCCCAUGUGUGGAAUGUAAACAAAACAAUUAUGGAAUGAACAAUUCGAGUUUUCUUGGAAAGUUUUUACCCUUUGUUGCUGAAAUUUCACAGAGCUCUGGAUUGCAGGGUAGCGUUAUGGAAACAAUGUCGACUUCAUUGUGAAGAACGUCACCAAACGUAAAAUAACGCGUUGACGGAUACUACUAGCCGACGGAAACAACUUCGAAACCGCAGUACACAAGUCAUUUUACAGAUAUCUUACAGUCAGAUUGGUUGUUCACUUAAUAAUCGGACAUGAAACUGACAAUAUCUUUCGCUGUUUUAUGCUUGGCAUAUACAAUAUCAACUUUCAAAGGUCGUGACGUUGCAGAUGCCAAACCUCUUGUGCCUAAGUCUCGACGUUCAUCCACUGACUCGAAGCGAUCAGAAGGUUCAUCAGAAAGUUCAUCAGAA